UGACCGAGAACCAGUUGAGAUGG
Molecule: non-coding RNA, 23 nt
Filed under: Arabidopsis thaliana (thale cress)
Lineage: Eukaryota; Viridiplantae; Streptophyta; Magnoliopsida; Brassicales; Brassicaceae
Source: RNAcentral